Molecule: unclassified non-coding RNA, 189 nt
Filed under: air metagenome
Description: partial contains small subunit ribosomal RNA, internal transcribed spacer 1, and 5.8S ribosomal RNA
Rfam family: Eukaryotic small subunit ribosomal RNA (bases 1-46)
Source: RNAcentral
AAGUCGUAACAAGGUUUCCGUAGGUGAACCUGCGGAAGGAUCAUUAUUGAUUGACCGAAAGGUCUUGAUUAACAUCCCUCACCUCUGUGAACCGUCUGACCUCCGGGUCUGGAUAACAAACAUCAGUGUAAAGAACGUCUAGUUAUUUUAACAAAAACAUAACUUUCAACAACGGAUCUCUUGGCUCUC